This 331-nucleotide long non-coding RNA is filed under the name Salvia miltiorrhiza (redroot sage). RNAcentral's name for it is "long non-coding RNA (SMIL_LNC014067)". Lineage: Eukaryota; Viridiplantae; Streptophyta; Magnoliopsida; Lamiales; Lamiaceae. The record is from RNAcentral.
GUGAACGUUUCCUCUCAUCACAGAAAAACUCAAGUAGAUUUCAAUAUCUUCAAGAAGACAGCAAAUCAAGGACUUCAAAAUCCCAAAAAUCGAAUCUUUAAUUAGCCAUGAUUAAAGCACUGCUCAACAAAACAGAGAUGGGCUCCAAGAACUGCAUUCUAAAAAGUGAAUAUAUGCUCGAUGCUGAAGACACACGACAUAAUGAGAACGAUGAAGCUGAAGAAAGAUCAAGUAGUAGAAAGCUAAAACCCCCUAAAUCUUAACACAGAGUUCACUAACAUAAUUCAGUGGCAAAUAAAACAAACACUAAUAAAAAAAGAAGGCAGCUCAU